RNAcentral lists this ribosomal RNA (733 nucleotides) under Streptomyces sp. P1. RNAcentral describes it as "bacterial SSU rRNA". It matches the Rfam family "Bacterial small subunit ribosomal RNA", at positions 51 to 798 of the family's 1533-position model. Lineage: Bacteria; Bacillati; Actinomycetota; Actinomycetes; Kitasatosporales; Streptomycetaceae. The record is from RNAcentral.
UAACAUGCAAGUCGAACGAUGAACCACUUCGGUGGGGAUUAGUGGCGAACGGGUGAGUAACACGUGGGCAAUCUGCCCUGCACUCUGGGACAAGCCCUGGAAACGGGGUCUAAUACCGGAUACUGAUCCGCCUGGGCAUCCAGGCGGUUCGAAAGCUCCGGCGGUGCAGGAUGAGCCCGCGGCCUAUCAGCUUGUUGGUGAGGUAGUGGCUCACCAAGGCGACGACGGGUAGCCGGCCUGAGAGGGCGACCGGCCACACUGGGACUGAGACACGGCCCAGACUCCUACGGGAGGCAGCAGUGGGGAAUAUUGCACAAUGGGCGAAAGCCUGAUGCAGCGACGCCGCGUGAGGGAUGACGGCCUUCGGGUUGUAAACCUCUUUCAGCAGGGAAGAAGCGAAAGUGACGGUACCUGCAGAAGAAGCGCCGGCUAACUACGUGCCAGCAGCCGCGGUAAUACGUAGGGCGCAAGCGUUGUCCGGAAUUAUUGGGCGUAAAGAGCUCGUAGGCGGCUUGUCACGUCGGUUGUGAAAGCCCGGGGCUUAACCCCGGGUCUGCAGUCGAUACGGGCAGGCUAGAGUUCGGUAGGGGAGAUCGGAAUUCCUGGUGUAGCGGUGAAAUGCGCAGAUAUCAGGAGGAACACCGGUGGCGAAGGCGGAUCUCUGGGCCGAUACUGAACGCUGAGGAGCGAAACGCGUGGGGAGCGAACAGGAUUAGAUACCCUGGUAGUCCAC